RNAcentral lists this unclassified non-coding RNA (213 nucleotides) under plant metagenome. RNAcentral describes it as "partial contains small subunit ribosomal RNA, internal transcribed spacer 1, and 5.8S ribosomal RNA". The record is from RNAcentral.
UUUCCGUAGGUGAACCUGCGGAAGGAUCAUUCAUAAUAAGUGUUUUAUGGCACUUUUUUAAAUCCAUAUCCACCUUGUGUGCAAUGUCAGGGUUGAUUUUUCUCUCGAGAGGAUCAACCCCAAACAUCAACUAUAUCUAAACUCUUUGUCUGAAAAAUAUUAUGAAUAAAUCAAUUCAAAAUACAACUUUCAACAACGGAUCUCUUGGCUCUC